GACGAACGCUGGCGGCGUGCUUAACACAUGCAAGUCGAGCGGUAAGGCCCUUUCGGGGGUACGACGAGCGGCGAACGGGUGAGUAACACGUGGGUGACCUGCCCUCCAGCUCUGGGAUAAGCCUGGGAAACCGGGGUCUAAUACUGGAUAUGACUCCAUGACGCAUGUUGUGGGGUGGAAAGCCUUGUGCGGCUGAGGAUGGGCCCGCGGCCUAUCAGCUUGUUGGUGGGGUGAUGGCCUACCAAGGCGACGACGGGUAGCCGGCCUGAGAGGGCGACCGGCCACACUGGGACUGAGACACGGCCCAGACUCCUACGGGAGGCAGCAGUGGGGAAUCUUGCGCAAUGGGCGAAAGCCUGACGCAGCGACGCCGCGUGAGGGAUGACGGCCU
RNAcentral lists this ribosomal RNA (391 nucleotides) under uncultured bacterium. RNAcentral's name for it is "bacterial SSU rRNA". It matches the Rfam family "Bacterial small subunit ribosomal RNA", at positions 28 to 417 of the family's 1533-position model. The record is from RNAcentral.